Molecule: ribosomal RNA, 373 nt
Filed under: uncultured organism
Description: bacterial SSU rRNA
Rfam family: Bacterial small subunit ribosomal RNA
Source: RNAcentral
CGGGGGGGGCAAGCGUUGUUCGGAAUUACUGGGCGUAAAGGGCGCGUAGGCGGCCUGCUAAGUCGGACGUGAAAUCCCUCGGCUCAACCGGGGAACUGCGUCCGAUACUGGCGAGGCUUGAAUCCGGGAGAGGGAUGUGGAAUUCCAGGUGUAGCGGUGAAACGCGUAGAUAUCUGGAGGUACACCAGUGGCGAAGGCGGCAUCCUGGACCGGUAUUGACGCUGAGGCGCGAAAGCUAGGGUAGCAAACGGGAUUAGAUACCCCGGUAGUCCUAGCCCUAAACGAUGAGUGCUCGGUGUGGCGGGUAUCGAUCCCUGCCGUGCCGAAGCUAACGCAUUAAGCACUCCGCCUGGGGAGUACGGUCGCAAGGCUG